Non-coding RNA from Solanum lycopersicum (tomato), 751 nucleotides. The record is from RefSeq and is a predicted model, not a curated record. NCBI's taxonomy places the organism in Eukaryota, Viridiplantae, Streptophyta, Magnoliopsida, Solanales, Solanaceae.
CUUAUUUCACUCCCGCAAUCUAAUUAGUUACACCCUUCAUCUCAAUUUGAAUUUCAAGUUAUUUUUUUUCUCUCCAGCUAAUCAAUAUCAAAUCAUUGAAUAUGUAGUUUUCAUCUUUAUUCUACUGUUCUUUGAUUUCGUAAAUUUUUCGACGAUCCUAAAUGGGUUGAAAACAGAUCUAAGGUUUUCAUCAACAAUUGACAAUAGUAAAUCAUUGUUGUUCUUUGAUUUUUUCAAUUUUUCAACGAUCCUAAAUGGGUUGAAAUCAGAUCUAAGAUUUUCAUAAGCAACUGGCAAUAGUAAAUCAUUGUUGUUCUUGAUAUUCUAAAGCACGAGCGUUUUCAUCAUCCAUUAGCAAUAGUGAAUCAAUAUUGUUCUUCAUCUUCUAAAGUGCAGGUUGAUAAAAAUUCAGAAAGAGGGAUCGAAAAUUGGCUCCUGCAAUUUCUUGACCUUCUUUACAGAAGGGAAUGCAUAUUCUUUAAUCCAUCCAAUGAUUUCUGAUCAGAUUGCCUUCGUACACGAUAUGCAACCCAAUUAUGAAAGUUUGAUACUGAAAAGAUCAAGGCAGAAUAUGUUAGUGAAAAUGAAGAUCCACAAACGCUUAAGAGUCAAUUCACAACACCAUCUCAAGAGGAUAUGAUUAAUGUUGACUAUAGAUUAUCUAUAACUUGUUGGACACCUUUUUAGAGUGUUAUGGUUGUUAAGAUACAUUUACUCUAAUUUUAGAGUGUUCCUUUUUACUGUUUUGAAA